This 18-nucleotide small nuclear RNA is filed under the name Arabidopsis thaliana (thale cress). RNAcentral describes it as "snRNA_05312". Lineage: Eukaryota; Viridiplantae; Streptophyta; Magnoliopsida; Brassicales; Brassicaceae. The record is from RNAcentral.
CCUGUUGAGCUUGACUCU